This 253-nucleotide ribosomal RNA is filed under the name uncultured prokaryote. RNAcentral describes it as "partial 16S ribosomal RNA". It matches the Rfam family "Bacterial small subunit ribosomal RNA", at positions 524 to 776 of the family's 1533-position model. The record is from RNAcentral.
UACGGAGGGUGCGAGCGUUGUUCGGAUUCAUUGGGCGUAAAGGGUGCGUAGGCGGCGGGGUAAGUCUGAUGUGAAAUCCCGGGGCUCAACCCCGGAACUGCAUUGGAUACUGCUCUGCUUGAGUACUGGAGAGGAGACUGGAAUUUACGGUGUAGCAGUGAAAUGCGUAGAGAUCGUAAGGAAGACCAGUGGCGAAGGCGAGUCUCUGGACAGUUACUGACGCUGAGGCACGAAGGCCAGGGGAGCAAACGGG